Transfer RNA from Ovis aries (sheep), 71 nucleotides. It matches the Rfam family "tRNA". Rfam says of the family: Transfer RNA (tRNA) molecules are approximately 80 nucleotides in length. Their secondary structure includes four short double-helical elements and three loops (D, anti-codon, and T loops). The record is from Rfam. Lineage: Eukaryota; Metazoa; Chordata; Mammalia; Artiodactyla; Bovidae.
UCCCUGGUGGCUCAACGGUAAAGCGUCUGCCUGCAAUGCGGGAGACCCGGGUUCGAUUCCUGGGUUGGGAA